RNAcentral lists this ribosomal RNA (327 nucleotides) under Triticum aestivum (bread wheat). Its description in RNAcentral is "partial small subunit ribosomal RNA". The record is from RNAcentral. Lineage: Eukaryota; Viridiplantae; Streptophyta; Magnoliopsida; Poales; Poaceae.
AUGAACAGACAAGCAUUCCGUAAGAUUAGCACUACUACUGUAAUCUUCACUAGCAGCAGAUGGAUGCGUCAAGGUUUUAGAAUUUCAAUAGAUAUAAAUUCUAAAAAGAAGAUAUUCCCUCCAUUCAGAAUUUAUAUCUGCAUAUUUUUUUUCAGAAUACAGAACUGGCACAUAAAAAAAUUACGUACAAACAUAAUUAUGCGGUUAUGCCAGACCCUUAUAAAUCUCUAUUGUGUUCUGUACAAAAGUUGGGUAUUUGUAUCAAAUGUUCAAUUUUCCGACUCUUUUAUGCUUUCAAAGGAAGACAAUAACACCGCUUUCAAUUAA